This 115-nucleotide small RNA is filed under the name Marmota monax (woodchuck). The record is from RNAcentral. Lineage: Eukaryota; Metazoa; Chordata; Mammalia; Rodentia; Sciuridae.
GCUGGGUGUAGUGGCACACCCGCCGUCCCAGAUUCUCAGGAGACUGAGGCAGGAGGAUCGCUUGAGUCUAGGAAUUAGAGACCAGCCUGGGUAACAGAGAGAGAUCCCAUCUCUU